Xyrichtys novacula (pearly razorfish) is the source of this 6818-nucleotide non-coding RNA. The record is from the annotation of a GenBank genome assembly. Lineage: Eukaryota; Metazoa; Chordata; Actinopteri; Labriformes; Labridae.
CGCCUUGUUCUGUUACCGGAAGAGCAGACACGCCACCUGUGUUAGAGUGUUAAUAAUGAAACCUCCUGUACUACCGGCCUCAACAAAUAAGCCAAAGACUAAAGAAUGAAGACCGAGUCAGGUAAGAGAGUCAUGAUCGGAAUAAGUGUUUACAUGGACGCAUAAACCACCCCUCGUGAUAGGAAUACAAUUUCUUUCCGAUUAAGCCGAAUUGGAUCAGAAUUUCCCGAUCGAUAUGUUUACAUGACGCAUUUUUAUUCCGAUCGGGUGUUUAUUCCGAUUAUUUGUGCCCAUGUAAACUACUGUGUCAGAUUUGGUGAUCACAGAGUCAUAAAACUGUACUGUGACUUGAACAACAGACUACACAAUGGUUCACCGCCAAUCACCUCGAUACACGUGAUGCUGCUGCUGAAAGACAUGAGUGACAGAGACAUGUUAAAGAAUAGCUUUUCCAUGCAGUUCAGUGUCUAAAACUCGUGAUAGCGCCUCAGCUUGUUGUCCAGAUAUAUUAGAGGGAGAAAAAAAACACAAUUUGUGGGAUUCAAUUUCUUACAUCCCCAAGAAAAACUUUACAGUCCCACUAAAAGAACUGGAGAACAAGUGGGAGAAACGUGUAAACUCUAAAGCCCUGACUCAGAAUUAGAGUGAAAUGCAAAAAUAAACCAGACAUGUUUUAACUGAGCUUUACUCCCUCUGAUGAUAUCAAACACCCUUUACUGUAAGUGCGCUUGUCGCUUGACUUCACUUGACUCAUGCAGCCAAAAUCAGCCAACAAUCAAGCCCAGGAUCAGCUGAAUAAGUGUUGUGUGAGUAUUCCUGUGAAUAGUUUGCGCAAUUCACACAAACCUACAAUUUAUCCUUUUUUUUCUCUGGAACUGAGGUUGUUGGCACUUUAACACGAAAAUGCUGAUAGUGGACUUUGAUAAUAGAAAUGCGAGGUUAAUCAUAUCCCAUUCAAAAUACCAGAAAGACAUUGAAUUUGAUUUUGUAGAUAUGCUUGCUAUUAUGAAGUGCAGUAGAGCCUAAAUCACAUGCUAAAACCAAUUCUAAAUUUGGGUCCCAGUGAAUUUCACAUCUUUGUUGCAAGGUAGUAUUUCAUGUACUUACUCACCUGCAACGAAAACAGAUUUUUUUUUCUUUAAAGCCUUAUUUUGUAGCUAUUUUUCUUAGUUUAGAGAGGACAGGACAGAAGACAAAGUAGAAAACAAGGGGAGUGAUUUGCAGGAAAAGAGCCACAGGCUUGAGGCAAAUCCAGGUUGUACUUAUGAGGCGCAUGAGUAGACCACCAGGCCAGCAGUGUUCUCAAAGAGAAACUAUUUUUAUGUGCCGUCUGGGAAAAAAAUUGAAUAUUAGAAAUCAGUAAAAUUACUUUGAGGUUACUUGAAAACUGAUCAGACCAACGGCCCUCGAAUUUUCCAGUAAAAGAAAGCGUUCUGAGCAGCUGUGCAGCUUGCCUUAAGUUCGAUAAACCUUCACAGACACCAGUGAACCCUGAGGCCAACGCUUGCUGGCAAACACAGAGCAUAUGGAGGAAAAGGAAAGGGCAUGUAUGGCAUGAGUCAUUCCACAUGGGGAUAUCUUGUUCUCAGACUGGUAAAAAGUCUGCUCUGUUGAAACAAUUCGACCAUUUGACUGUGUCAGUUUAGGAUACCAGAGCCGGCAUUUGAAACUCUGCAGCGCUCCAGCUGUCACACCUGCUCUGGGCAUACAAUCUGCAUUAUGCAAUUAAGUGAACAGUAUGUGGGUUUUUAUACUUCUUUGUCUGCCAUUUUUAGGGACAAGAAUUAUUGUGAAGUGGUUUGGUUUUUUUAGUAUGUCUAUAUGUCAUCAGUGGUCUUGAAAUGCUCUGUUACGAGUUUGAAAGAGUGUGUGUGUGAGGCCAGGUGCUCUGAUCUUAAUGAACUCUGUGCAGAGAUACCUGAUAUCCAUCUCCUGUGCUUAUAGCCUGAAAAAAGACUGAUGUGUUUUAUUUACUGUGCAAAAGUUAAACAGAGUGAUUUAUAACCCCCAUAAACGAGCAUAUAGGACCCAAGCUAAACAAAAUUGGAUUCUGUCUCAUGGGAGUCUAUACAACACAUAAACCCAGCAUGUACUAAAAAUCAUGAAUGUCAUGUGUGAGACUGCGUUUAGGCACCAAAGGGUCAGGUUCAUUUACAAAAUCCAAGGUUACAGUCAGGAGUGUUUUUCAUGAAACAGGCUUGUGUUUAGAAAUGAGGACAUCAUGCAGAGAAAAGGGUAGUAAAGUCCCAGCAUGUUCAAAGAUCUCUGUGACUAACCAAAGCUUAAGGUUUACAUUGGUGAGUCUUUUGUAAAUAUCCAUAAACAGUGAAAAGGUUAAGGCUGCAGCGUGAUGUAAGCAAUGGAGAAAUGAACUCAUGAUGGCUGAACCAUCACCACACACAAACAAGGGCACCGCCGCUGCCUCACAGAAGAAAAACCAUGUCUUCUGUUGUGGUGAUUUUAAAAGUGUACAAACUGUUUGUACCAACAUUUAGGAAGGGAAAACAAUCAGAAAGUGAAACUUUAAAGAGUGAAUUUUAUAAUGACUUCAGUCUCUAUUUGAGCUCAGAAGUUCUGUUAAACAACUUCCCGUUUACGGAGACUUUAUCCAGACAAAAAUGUCUAAACGUGCAGAGACUAUAAAUUCCUUCUGCAACAUCAGAAAGUUUUCACCUGUUAAGAUAAAUAUCUAUUUGGCCAAUAGCAAAAAAAUAAAAUAAAACAUUUCAUGAAUCUCAUUUACAUGGUAGACAUCUGACUGGUCCUUCUGAGGAAACAGGGGGAGGUUGGGGAGUUCUGAGAGAUUUCCAAUUAAUUUUGUGGAUUUCCCCAUUUUUACUGCAGCAUGACUACAUUUUGGUUUAUGACUAAAUUCCUAAAGGACUGAGCAUUAUAAGCUGCUUAACAUCAGCCUGACAGACUUAUCAAUGUGGGGCAUAUUUGCAUGCUGAUGUUAGCGUAUAGUUCACAGUAAACCCCCACAGAGAGCUUGAGUCAUUUUUCAAAUUUAUGUACAUGACUGCACGUCUAUAAAUCUAUGACCUUUUAAAUACUGUAAUAUUCAGCACUGAGGCCUUUUUAAUUUAAAGUCUUACAUUUCAUAUAAAGCCCUUCUCAGCUCUCCAACUACUCAACAGUUUAGCUGGUGCUAAGUAGUUUAACACAACACCAUGAACUGUGCUACCUGUGCUUUCAACACACCCACCUUCAAAUCCCACUCAGGAUCAGUUUAAAUUGUUAUUUCAUCCCCAGACUCGGACCUGUGCCUCCCGCCUCCAUGUCUGAUGUGGCGUAUCAUAGCCUGGACACCAGUCAAGCACCCUUUAACUUUCCAGCAACUGGCUCGAGCCAAGUAUGUGACUCCCACUCGCAAGGAGUCUGAACUCCUUUCUAACACCCAUAAUCGUAGACCAAAUACCUCACUUGGAAUUUACUAAAAGAUAUCGAUGUUGUUAAAUUAUUUUCCAGACUGUAAAAACAACCUCCUACACUGACCUACACAUUCACAAGAAGGACCAGGAUGCUGUGUUAACAUUUUUCCUAUUUAGCCAGUACUGGACAUUAUUUUUGAUCAAAGUCAGCUCUUGUUAUAGUCAAUUUUAGGAAAAUAGCAGUUUUUUACACAUCUGGAAAAGUCUGGGAACUUACUUAGUUGAUUAGUUGAUCAGUACUUCAGGUAUUCUCCAUACUAUCCUUCAUCAAGCACAUUUUAAAAAACAAUUUGUUACAAAAAAGCACCAAUGAAUGCUGGUCAGCCUUUUGAGUAAACACGAAAUGGUUUUUAUCCACAAUACAAUACUGGAGAUAAUAUGGAUAAAAUCUCUACCUCACCCUUUAGUGUAGUUUUGGUGAAUUUUAAUUUUUUUGUCUGAACCUUUAGCUGAGAAAAAAAAAUUGGCAAACUUUGUAAUUUUUUAUUUAUUUAUUUUUUUUACACACUCCUACCUUUUUUAUGUUUGUUCCUCUGGUGCAUAUACACUCACCGGCCACUUUAUUAGGUACACCUGUCCAACUGCUCGUUAACACUUAAUUUCUAAUCAGCCAAUCACAUGGCGGCAACUUAGUGCAUUUAGGCAUGUAGACAUGGUCAAGACAAUCUCCUGCAGUUCAAACCGAGCAUCAGUAUGGGGAAGAAAGGUGAUUUGAGUGACUUUGAACGUGGCAUGGUUGUUGGUGCCAGAAGGGCUGGUCUGAGUAUUUCAGAAACUGCUGAUCUACUGGGAUUUUCACGCACAACCAUCUCUAGGGUUUACAGAGAAUGGUCCGAAAAAGAAAAAAUAUCCAGUGAGCGGCAGUUCUGUGGGCGGAAAUGCCUUGUUGAUGCCAGAGGUCAGAGGAGAAUGGCCAGACUGGUUCGAGCUGAUAGAAAGGCAACAGUGACUCAAAUAACCACCCGUUACAACCAAGGUAGGCAGAAGAGCAUCUCUGAACGCACAGUACGUCGAACUUUGAGGCAGAUGGGCUACAGCAGCAGAAGACCACACCGGGUGCCACUCCUUUCAGCUAAGAACAGGAAACUGAGGCUACAAUUUGCACAAGCUCAUCGAAAUUGGACAAUAGAAGAUUGGAAAAACGUUGCCUGGUCUGAUGAGUCUCGAUUUCUGCUGCGACAUUCGGAUGGUAGGGUCAGAAUUUGGCGUCAACAACAUGAAAGCAUGGAUCCAUCCUGCCUUGUAUCCACGGUUCAGGCUGGUGGUGGUGGUGUCAUGGUGUGGGGAAUAUUUUCUUGGCACUCUUUGGGCCCCUUGGUACCAAUUGAGCAUCAUUGCAACGCCACAGCCUACCUGAGUAUUGUUGCUGACCAUGUCCAUCCCUUUAUGACCACAAUGUACCCAACUUCUGAUGGCUACUUUCAGCAGGAUAAUGCGCCAUGUCAUAAAGCUGGAAUCAUCUCAGACUGGUUUCUUGAACAUGACAAUGAGUUCACUGUACUCAAAUGGCCUCCACAGUCACCAGAUCUCAAUCCAAUAGAGCAUCUUUGGGAUGUGGUGGAACGGGAGAUUCGCAUCAUGGAUGUGCAGCCGACAAAUCUGCGGCAACUGUGUGAUGCCAUCAUGUCAAUAUGGACCAAGCUCUCUGAGGAAUGCUUCCAGCACCUUGUUGAAUCUAUGCCACGAAGAAUUGAGGCAUUUCUGAAGGCAAAAGGGGGUCCAACCCGUUACUAGCAUGGUGUACCUAAUAAAGUGGCCGGUGAGUGUAUAUUCAUGCCACUGUUCCUCUGAAGCACACAUGGUUUAAUGUAUAACAGUUAUUUGAAAAAUAUUAACUUAAAUUGAUUCAAUGUUAUCAAAUUCUAUUUGUAAAUCUCACGGUGAGAUCCAGUACCUAUCAUGACACUUUUUUGUAACAGUUUUUCACCACAUACUUUUAUAAGAUAUAAAGUAGAGAGCUGCAACUACAUGAAAUGUUCUAAUACAGCUGUUCAAUGCUUUAACUGUAACUUACAGAUGAUUAAUCAUAACAUUAUGUCCACCUACCUGAUGUUGUAUGAGCCCCCCCUGAGCAGGUAAGACUUGGACUCCACUAGACCUUCAAAGAUCCUGGAAGUAAUCAAGUUGAGCCUCCUAACAGUGGACAUGUUUGUCAAACACAUCCCACAUGCUUGAUUAGAUUGAGAUCUGGGAAACCGGGUGGCCAAUUCAACACCUUGAACUCAUUACCGUGGUCCUCCAGCCCCUUUUCUUUCAUUGCUCUGUGGUCCAGGUCAGUUUUGAUACAUGUGUAAUGCAGGCUCAUCUGAUGGAGAACAGAAAAGCACCCCAUCCAGUCCGGGGCUACACAGCCUCAUGUACAACACACUGUGGCACACUGCUUUGCAACAUGCAUGACCAAGUCCAAGUCAUUACAGAUGAGUGUUGAUGAUGUUAUGGUUUAUCAGUGUAUGAGUAUUUAAGGUUAAACUGCUAACUUAACUGCACAGGCAAAGAAGUCUGCUGACUUUCUCUGUUCAUUGUGCAGGUGCUUCCUGAGGAUCUGACUUUUUCCUUGACACAGACCAGAGGAGCUGUUCACUUAUCUUAUCCACAGUGAGUUCAACCUCUCUUACUCAACUUGAAAACAACUUGCAACAACAUUACAAAUAACAGAGCAGUGAUUUUCCCCUCCAGGAAACACUAGUCUGUCUUUGUUUCCAAUAAGUGUUCCCUUACUAAAAAUAAAAUAUCAAGUCUCCAAGUGAAAACCCACACUUUAAACUCUUAGAUUAUUUUCAAGGCUGCAUUAACAGAUAUACAGUAUGUAUAUUUAUGCUGACGAACAUAACUAACUAAAGUCUUUCUUUUAAAUGGUAGCCAGGAAGUAGACAGACCCACUGUUCAAAUAAACUAACAUCCUCAAGAACGUGACUUUGAAUUUCCAAGUCAAGUUUAUGUGGUUGAUCAAGCCGAACUUGUAGCCAACAGCCUGAAACUUGCAUGAAAUCGCCUGCAUGUUUUUGUAAUAUUAUUCCGUCUGCAGACAGACCCAUCAGACAAAGACCAGUGAUAUCAUUGAACAGAUGCACUCCUGUGAUAAUGUACAACUCUACUUUUGUUCUCUCCUGGGUGACUUAUCCUCUUUCUCACUUUUUCCAGCACACGGUGUUGUUGACAGUUCUGCUGAGUGGUAUAAGGUAAAGAAUUCACCAUUAAUCCCCCUCAUCGGUGUAGAGGAGAUGGAUUGACAGCUCUGACAGUCUCUCCAGAGGGAGGGUUAAAAACAUCUGACAAACACUUAUUGUCCUAAACACCCCUAAGAAUUGAAAGCAGCUUUAAGAUACAGUACAACCACACCCACACUCUGUGCCAUCCUCUGACAUAAUCCAAAAAGAAACAAGAGCG